ACUGCAAUCACUGAAUACUGCUGCAUUGGAUCCCCUUGGAAAGAUGUGUGUCCUUUGCACGAAGCCCAACACAGUGGAUGUUAUGGCAGGGCACACUGCCUUGUGUAAUACUAGCUCUGUUUGCACAGGUGUUGGAUGGCUGGAUCCAUGGAUGAUGUGAGUGUCCAGGAGGUCUUCUGUGGCUUACAGAGUCUGCUGGGAGGUAAUUUCUAGGGAAGAAGCAUACUGCAAAAAGCUGGGAGACUUCUAGGAAUUACACAGAAAUAUCAAAGAUCGUGCACAAGGAAAUGGUGUCCCUGGAUGAAAGUGGGACAUCUCUAUUCAAAUCACCAAGCAGUGAACUCAUGAACUUCUAACCUUCCAAGAGACUGCAAGCUGAGAGGAAGGAUUUAAAUCUGUUUCAAACCUUGCUAAGGACUGAAUUUAGCAGGAGAUAACAAACAAACUUGGGAGGAGAGAACUUAAGAGCUGCAGGAAUUCCUACUAGUUCCCUCAAGAGCUGAGAAGCCUAAGAAUCCAGAAAAGCUUUAUAAAUUAUAAGACCUUCUACACUUUUCCUUCACAAUAUGACAGCCAAUCUUUCCAUUAAGAGACUAUUUACCCAUAAUAGAGA
Oxyura jamaicensis (ruddy duck) is the source of this 613-nucleotide long non-coding RNA. RefSeq lists it as uncharacterized. The transcript has 3 exons. Lineage: Eukaryota; Metazoa; Chordata; Aves; Anseriformes; Anatidae. The record is from RefSeq and is a predicted model, not a curated record.